Molecule: unclassified non-coding RNA, 530 nt
Filed under: Hevea brasiliensis (rubber tree)
Lineage: Eukaryota; Viridiplantae; Streptophyta; Magnoliopsida; Malpighiales; Euphorbiaceae
Source: RNAcentral
AGCAAAAGAAAAGUCAUUAUCUUUUUGCAUUUGAAAAAUGGUCAGAAAAUAAAACUUUUAUUGUAAAGAAAAACAGCAAAGAACAAUUUAAAGUUACUCGUUUAGAAAAAUGACACAUGUGAAUAUGAAGCUAGUUUUGUUUAGAAAUCUUUUCUAGAAAAUUAUUUUAGUUCUCACGCCCACACAGUCUCAAGGAGCAGUCCAAAAACACAAAAUUUAUAAAAGCUAGCACUAAUUAAAUUCAGAGCAAUUUGUAAAAUAAGAAACAAAUCCAUGGAUAUAAUGACAGUCUCAUGUAAGAAGACUAAACACAGCCUGUUCUACAAAUAAUCUCUGCAUGUUUGGACCCUUUUAUUUAUUUUUGAAGUACAGACUGUUACAAAGCAAAAAUGAAAGCAGAUACAAAAUUACCAAUAUGUUUCUCUUCAGAUUAAGCUUUUGCUUAACAAGUUUUAAUGCACAUAUCCAACAUCAAAUUUCAGGUGCAGGCAAGUACUGUGCAUGUACGUGAAAGAGAGAGAGAGAGAGAG